Molecule: long non-coding RNA, 237 nt
Organism: Sphaeramia orbicularis (orbiculate cardinalfish)
Lineage: Eukaryota; Metazoa; Chordata; Actinopteri; Kurtiformes; Apogonidae
Exons: 2
Source: RefSeq, a predicted model, not a curated record
UUUUCAUCCUGUCAUAUGUCAAUGAUUAACUCCAACAUUGGUUAAUAUACAUUAUUAUUUUUUGUUCUAGGUCAAAUGUUUAAUGCUAAAAUGUGUCAGUGUGUAUUUUGUACUCACUUGGUAGAAGGUGUUAGUGGAGGAAUUUAACAGUGUUUAUAAUGGGAUGAUUUUAGUGAAUGGGUCAGAAUAAUACAAAAAAAAAAAACAUGAAAAAAAUGAACAACUUUUAAAUUCUGA